Molecule: unclassified non-coding RNA, 213 nt
Filed under: uncultured Alnicola
Lineage: Eukaryota; Fungi; Basidiomycota; Agaricomycetes; Agaricales; Cortinariaceae
Also listed under: 1 other name
Description: sequence contains ITS2
Source: RNAcentral
AAUUCUCAACCUUAUUAGCUUUUGCUAAUAAUGGCUUGGAUUUGGGGGUCUUUUUGCCGGCUUCUUCACCGAGGUCAGCUCCCCUUAAAUGCAUUAGCUGGUGCCCUGUGUGGACUUGUCUAUUGGUGUGAUAAUUAUCUACGCCGUGGAUGUCUGCAAUAUUAUGGGUUUGCACUGCUUCUAACUGUCUGUUUGUUCAGACAAUACAUGACA